RNAcentral lists this ribosomal RNA (433 nucleotides) under uncultured Glomus. RNAcentral's name for it is "SSU rRNA". It matches the Rfam family "Eukaryotic small subunit ribosomal RNA", at positions 569 to 1008 of the family's 1831-position model. Lineage: Eukaryota; Fungi; Glomeromycota; Glomeromycetes; Glomerales; Glomeraceae. The record is from RNAcentral.
AGCAGCCGCGGUAAUUCCAGCUCUAAUAGCGUAUAUUAAAGUUGUUGCGGUUAAAAAGCUCGUGGUUGAAUUUCGGGAUCAAUAUGUCGGUCGUGCCUCCGGUACGUACUGGCAUCAUUGAUUUCUCCCUUCUGACGAACCAUGAUGUCAUUAAUUUGGUGUCAUGGGGAGUCAGGACUGUUACUUUGAAAAAAUUGAGUGUUUAGAGCAGGCUCACGCUUGAAUACAUUAGCAUGGAAUAAUGAAAUAGGACGUUUGACCCUAUUUUGUUGGUUUCUAGGAUCGACGUAAUGAUUAAUAGGGAUAGUUGGGGCAUUAGUAUUCAAUUGUCAGAGGUGAAAUUCUUGGAUUUAUUGAAGACUAACUACUGCGAAAGCAUUUGACCAAGGUAUGUUUCAUUAAUCAAGAACGAAAGUUAGGGAUCGAAGACGAU